Molecule: ribosomal RNA, 229 nt
Filed under: uncultured bacterium
Lineage: Bacteria
Description: partial 16S ribosomal RNA
Rfam family: Bacterial small subunit ribosomal RNA
Source: RNAcentral
AUACGUAGGUGGCAAGCGUUGUCCGGAUUUACUGGGCGUAAAGGGUAUGUAGGCGGAUAUUUAAGUCAGAUGUGAAAUUCCCGGGCUUAACCUGGGAGCUGCAUUUGAUACUGGAUAUCUAGAGUGCGGGAGAGGAAAGUGGAAUUCCUAGUGUAGCGGUGAAAUGCGUAGAUAUUAGGAGGAACACCAGUGGCGAAGGCGGCUUACUGGACUGUAACUGACGUUGAGG